RNAcentral lists this ribosomal RNA (1212 nucleotides) under Triticum aestivum (bread wheat). Its description in RNAcentral is "partial small subunit ribosomal RNA". Lineage: Eukaryota; Viridiplantae; Streptophyta; Magnoliopsida; Poales; Poaceae. The record is from RNAcentral.
AUGCGCAGCAGCAAUGCCAUGUUAGGCCGCCAAAAAACCUCGAAGACAAGGUUCGUCAGGCGUAUCAACAGCAUCCUGCAGCAGCUACAAUCAGCUAGCCUGAAUAAGUUUGUGGUCAAGUUCGCGCUUCGGAAAAGGCACACGGCUCACAUUGAUAGAUGGGUCAACUUUUCUGUCGCAUCAAGAACAAAACAUUUGGUUCUUGAUUUAUGUCCAGGAAUGAAAGUUAGUAGUAUCGACACAGAUGACAUGUACACCUUCCCACUCCAUCUUUUUGAUGCCAGUAGUGGUUCUUGUGUCAAGUCUCUUCGUCUAGGGUUCGUCUAUUUAAUGCCACUCCCUGAUCUCUGCGGAUUUGCGAACCUUAAGAAACUCUCUCUGCAUAUGGUGACCAUCACAGGGGAAUUCUCGUGCUUGGUCCCAGUAUGUGCUGUUCUUGAGUGGCUAAGCAUCACCAGAUGCAGAAUGGCUGGGCUAAGCAUAGCGCAGGAACUAAGCCAGCUGCAUUAUCUAUGCGUGCAGUUCUGUUUCCUGCUGAAGUUAGAAAUCCGGGCUCCAAACCUUGUCACCUUCAUGUUCAACGAUCAUGCUAUACCUAUCAUGCUUGGUGAACCUCUGAAAAUUUCAGAGGCGACGAUUGGUUUGUUUUCGUCCUCCGACUGUUUCAAUUAUGUCUUCACUGAUCUUGUCAAUGCUCUUUCACAUGUGCAGUCUCUCUCCAUAAACUUCAAAAUUAACACCGAGGUGCUGGGGUUUGUGAAAAAUCCUACCAGACUUACCAAUCUGAGACUUAUGAUCUUGAAGAUAGAUAUUUCUGGGUGGCCAGAAACUACUGGUGGAAUUCUUCGUUUGGCUUACAUUUUGAAGCUAGCCCCCUUUUUGGAAGAGUUGGUACUCCAUAUGUAUUAUCUUAACUUGGCAAUUCCUGUCUUGCAAACAAUUGAGGAUACCUCCCCGCCUCAUCCGCACAGUCAUCUGAAGACUAUCCGAAUGACCGGGUUUUACGGUUUGCAUGGUCAGCUUGAGCUAGCACUCUAUCUGCUUCGGAAUGCGACUUCUCUCAAGUGUAUGGUCAUAGAUCCUGUGGUGAGAAACAGCUCAUACAUUCCACCUCUGGUGGUAGCAGAGAAACAAAUAUAUCAAGGCAGGAUAACGGCCAGGACUAAACUUUGGAGGAACAACGAGUUCAGAGGCGUCCUUGAAAUUCUGUGA